Long non-coding RNA from Chrysoperla carnea, 233 nucleotides. RefSeq lists it as uncharacterized. NCBI's taxonomy places the organism in Eukaryota, Metazoa, Arthropoda, Insecta, Neuroptera, Chrysopidae. The transcript has 2 exons. The record is from RefSeq and is a predicted model, not a curated record.
UAUCAUUUAAAAUAAUUUUUGAAGUACUAUAAAUUGUCGUAAAGUUUUUAUUUUCAGCAUCAAUUCACUUUGUACCGUGUUCAAGAAUAAAUCUAUUCAAUAUGAAUUUCUGGGCUUUAUUUGCAAUUCUUAUCGCUGCUUUAUUGCAAUUUGCUAAUUUUGCAGUAGCUUUACCACAAGGUGGCCCCCCACCCGGUCCUCCACCACAUGGGACUUCACCAGGACCACCACCA